UGCGGACACGUGUGCACGUACUUAUCUGGGGAUAGCUUUCGAAGGAGAUAUACCCCGUAUNUGUUGAUGGCUCUUNCGACUUGAAACUCNGUGGNUAAAAAUUGGGCCGCGCAAAUAAAUAUGUGAAGUACGGUCCCCAGUUNUACAAUCUUAGGGGGCUGGAAAGGUGAAUCCCCAAUUGUACUGGAGAACCGGAACCAGGNUCUACGGGAAGGGCACAUGGAAGGAAUUUUGGGCCCAAUUGGGUGAAAAGCCUUGAAUUCCAACAUUCCCGGGGUUGAAAGGACNACUGCCCUAUGGGUUGUAAACUUCUUUUGUAUAGGGAUAAACCUACCCUCGUGAGGGUAGCUGAAGGUACUAUACGAAUAAGCACCGGCUAACUCCGUGCCAGCAGCCGCGGUAAUACGGAGGGUGCAAGCGUUAUCCGGAUUUAUUGGGUUUAAAGGGUCCGUAGGCGGAUCUGUAAGUCAAGUGGUGAAAUCUCCACAAGCUUAACUGUGGAAACUUGCCAUUGAUUACUGCCAGGGUCUUGAGUGUUGGUUGAAAGUUAGCUUGGAAUAAGUAAGUGUAACCGGUGGAAAAUUGGCAUUAGAAUUUUUA
RNAcentral lists this ribosomal RNA (600 nucleotides) under uncultured bacterium. RNAcentral describes it as "bacterial SSU rRNA". It matches the Rfam family "Bacterial small subunit ribosomal RNA", at positions 100 to 712 of the family's 1533-position model. The record is from RNAcentral.